GGUAACAUCAGUGCUUCUGUUGAGCACAGUGGUCACUCAAAAGAGGCAGAGUGAGUUCAGCCUAUCAUUUGAGAUCCGAGUAUGAUUGGGGAAAUAUCCUGAAAUAGUCUAUGAUUUGAAGAAAUGGAUAGAUGGCUAGAAUAACAUGCUAGAUGGUAGUCAAGUUACUAACUGCAGAAUUGAUUUGAUAAAAUUCUCAUCGUGUCUCCUGACUUAGGAGAAAUAUUGGGUCUGAUGAAUGGGUAAAAUUCCCAGGUGAAAAGAAUUUGGUCUGUAAGAUUUGGCAGCACCCUGAGGUUUGCCAUAUCUGAUGGCCUGGCUUUAGUGGCAGCACCUAGUGAAGGCCCAGGUGUCCUUCUGACAACCUUUACCACCUACCGUUUUGUCCUUACUUAUGUUGAAUCACUACACACAGGCUGUUGAAUUCAGCUGUCUGUGGAGAAAUUAUACCAACCACAUGGUUAGACAGAAGGAAUACAAUAUAUUGCUUAAUUUGUAUCUGAAAGCUAAGCAACAUGGAAAAAAAUCAAGCAUGCUCAGUCACUUCCAUGAGGACAAACGAAGACACUUCAAGGAGGACAUUGACAUGGAUCUGCCAGCUUUCUAAGACUUUCCCCAGAUUCAAGUCCAGUCACAUCAAGUUGCCUUAUUAAAGGGUCUGCCCACUCAAAAGGAGAAAGUGCAAAAGAUGCUCAGCAAGGGUAGCAAACGCAGUCAGAUGAUACUUCCUGACAGCAUCCAAGAGCAAGUCUCACCACCACAUCUGUCAAUAAAAAAGAAAACAAGGAGCUGCCAAUUUGUCUAUUUAUAGGUGCCAAUAAAAUCCUGCACAGAACUUUAGUCAACAAGACUAUUUCAGAAGGGGUGGCCAACAGUGUGGCCUUUCACUGGCAAGGGCCACCUUUGUCAUCACUUAAGAAAGAAAACCUGCCAAGUUUUCUGUGAGGCCCUCAAUAAAUCUUACUGAGUAUUUCCAUACACA
RNAcentral lists this long non-coding RNA (982 nucleotides) under Homo sapiens (human). Its description in RNAcentral is "long intergenic non-protein coding RNA 1333". Lineage: Eukaryota; Metazoa; Chordata; Mammalia; Primates; Hominidae. The record is from RNAcentral.